RNAcentral lists this transfer-messenger RNA (367 nucleotides) under Dermacoccus nishinomiyaensis. Its description in RNAcentral is "Standard tmRNA". It matches the Rfam family "transfer-messenger RNA". From Rfam's summary of the family: Bacterial tmRNA, also known as 10Sa RNA or SsrA, is named for its dual tRNA and mRNA-like properties. Its role is to liberate the mRNA from a stalled ribosome. The record is from RNAcentral. Lineage: Bacteria; Bacillati; Actinomycetota; Actinomycetes; Micrococcales; Dermacoccaceae.
GGGGAUGAUCGGUUUCGACAUCGGUCGCCGUCCCAGGGGAAGCGGGCCGAGGAUGCAGAGUUAUCUCGUUAACGCUCUCUGCAAACCCAUAGGUGCCGAUUCCAAGCGCACCGACUUCGCCCUCGCCGCCUGAGCGAGCCCGAAGUCUGUCAGCCUGAGCUAGUUCUCGACUCAGUGUCUGGCAUCAGCUAGAGAACUUGCUGCAACGUCUUGUCGAGGGGCGUUGUGGGACUCUCACUCGACUGGGCCUGUCGCGGAAUGUGUCAUUCCUUGCCGCGGGGCCGAGAAAAUCCGCAGGAUGACUGCGCCCGGAGAAGCCCUGGAUCGCCGUCGAUGGACGGGGGUUCAAUUCCCCCCAUCUCCACCA